GACGAACGCUGGCGGCGUGCUUAACACAUGCAAGUCGAGCGAGAAGACGUAGCAAUACGUUCGUAAAGCGGCGAACGGGUGAGGAAUACAUGGGUAACCUACCCUCGAGUGGGGAAUAACUAGCCGAAAGGUUAGCUAAUACCGCGUACGCUUCUUGGACUUCGGUUCAGGGAGGAAAGCGAUGCCGAGGGUAUCGCGCUCUUGGAUGGGCUCAUGUCCUAUCAGCUUGUUGGUGAGGUAACGGCUCACCAAGGCUUCGACGGGUAGCUGGUCUGAGAGGACGAUCAGCCACACUGGCACUGCGACACGGGCCAGACUCCUACGGGAGGCAGCAGUAAGGAAUAUUGCGCAA
Molecule: ribosomal RNA, 352 nt
Filed under: uncultured bacterium
Lineage: Bacteria
Description: bacterial SSU rRNA
Rfam family: Bacterial small subunit ribosomal RNA
Source: RNAcentral